AAUAACAGAACAUUUUUUUUACCAUAACAACUGAAAUGUUUUAAUGACUAUACAGCACAAACAAACAACAUACUAAAAUAGAUAUCUUCAAUCAGUGCUGUUGCACAAAUCUUUAGACUUCAAUAUAUAUGCACUUUUUGUACGUAUAUAUAUAAAAUAUACUUGUAUAUGAAAUAUGAGUCUAAAAAAGGACCAAUCUGCAAGGUUGUUGACUAAUGGUACAAAAUGGCGUAAAAUAUCAAUUUUAUUAUAGAACACCAAAAAGGCACAAAUUG
Molecule: long non-coding RNA, 275 nt
Filed under: Mytilus galloprovincialis (Mediterranean mussel)
Lineage: Eukaryota; Metazoa; Mollusca; Bivalvia; Mytilida; Mytilidae
Source: RNAcentral